RNAcentral lists this ribosomal RNA (367 nucleotides) under uncultured bacterium. RNAcentral's name for it is "partial 16S ribosomal RNA". It matches the Rfam family "Bacterial small subunit ribosomal RNA", at positions 338 to 702 of the family's 1533-position model. The record is from RNAcentral.
CCUACGGGAGGCUGCAGUGAGGAAUAUUGGGCAAUGGACGAGAGUCGGAACCAGCCAAGUAGCGUGAAGGAUGACUGCCCGAUGGGUUGUAAACUUCUUUUAUAAAGGAAUAAAACGAGGCACGUGGGCCGUUUUGCAUGUACGUUAUGAAGAAGGAUCGGCUAACUCCGUGCCAGCAGCCGCGGUAAUACGGAGGAUACGAGCUUUAUCCGGCUUUAUUGGGUUUAAAGGGAGCGUAGAUGGGUUGUUAAGGCAGUUGUGAAAGUUUGCGGCUCAACCGUAAAAUUGCAAGUGAUACUGGCAGUCUUGAGUACAGUUGAGGUAGGCGGAAUUCGUGGUGUAGCGGUGACAUGCUUAGCUAUCACGA